UAAAUGUCUGUGUAAACUUGACAUUUUACUUUCAAUCUGUUUUGGCUUUAUCAAAUAUAGAACAUUAAUCUCUACAAGUUAGAAGUAGUUUUUAGAUUUAGAAACUUUGCAAAUUGGUUUAGUAUUUGUUACUCUUCUUAAUACAGACUUGAUUAUCAUUUGAUGACAAUUAUGCUUAUGACUUAAUGAAAACAAUAUCAAAGUUGAAUGUUUUAAAUUUGUUUAUUUAUA
This is a long non-coding RNA of Sinocyclocheilus grahami, 231 nucleotides long. RefSeq lists it as uncharacterized. The record is from RefSeq and is a predicted model, not a curated record. Lineage: Eukaryota; Metazoa; Chordata; Actinopteri; Cypriniformes; Cyprinidae. The transcript has 3 exons.